Octopus sinensis (East Asian common octopus) is the source of this 1282-nucleotide long non-coding RNA. RefSeq lists it as uncharacterized. The transcript has 2 exons. The record is from RefSeq and is a predicted model, not a curated record. NCBI's taxonomy places the organism in Eukaryota, Metazoa, Mollusca, Cephalopoda, Octopoda, Octopodidae.
AAAAAAGAAAAAAUAAACUUUAAAGAAAAUAUGCAUAAAUAGAUAUUUCAUAAAAGAAACAAAAAAAGAAAUGAUAUCAAACAAAAUGAGAAAUAAGUGCAAUGAAAGAAAGAGAGAAAGAAAGCGCAACAUCUUGGAACAACACCACGUACAUGUGAAUAAAAUUGUGAAACCAAAAAAAAAAUUUAAAUAAAAAAUAAAAAACAUCAUAUAUCCCAGAAAGGGAAGAAAAUAAAACUGAAAGCCCCCCACAAAAAAAAAACUGACAACCAAAAAACAAAGGACAAAAUUGGGAACGAUUAAAAGAAAAAAGUGAAAUGAAGAAAAAAGAGAGAAAGGAAAAGACCACCGUAAGGAAAGAUUGGAAAAGAAAAGAAAGGAGAAAAAGAUCUAAAAAGACAAAGAAAAAAUGAUGUGAAAUUGCAGCAAAGGAACAUUCUUGAUUUUUUUUUUUUGCAAGAAACUCCUUAAGUCUGCAAGAGAAAAAUUUGGUAAUUGAGAGAGUUUUUCCCUGUAAGCUAUUUAUAGUUUAGAUUUUGGAUUAAGGCUUAAGGUGUUAAAAUAAAUUAAAUCUUCUUAAUAAUGGGUGCAGCAGGUUAACUAUAAAGAUAAAAAGAAAUUAAAAAAAAAAGUUUCAGUAAAUCUUGUGCGAAAAAUAUUAUUUAAAAUAAUAUAAAAAUAAUAAAAAAAAAAUGGUAAGAAUAAUGAUAAUGAUUUAAUAUAAGAAAAUGUUAACUAUUAUACUAAAAUAAUUUUUAAAAAAUUGAUUAAUGGUAAUGAUUUCCUCCAGCAGCUUUUUUGAUAUCGGUCAUGUGUAAUUUGUAACGUAUGUGUGUUGCGUGCGUAUGUAUGUAUAUAUAUAUAUAUAUAUACACACACACACACAUACAUAUAUACACACACAAACAUUGCUAGUAUUUUGGCACACACUGAUUUGGUGGAGUACUUAUGUAUGAUUCCUAGUUGAAAUAGCUUAAUUGAAAUUAGUGCUUUUCAGUGCAGUCCACUUUUACAUCUAUAAUACUACUUGAGAAAGGGAUGAAUGUUAGCUUGCCCUCAAAAAAAUAUCCUUGAGCAUCCUUGAGUAGAGGGGAGUCUACUAUUGCUAUAAUAAUAAUAAUGAUAAUAAUGAUUAUUAUUAUUAUUAUUUGUGCACCACUGAAGUAGCUCAGAUGGGAGAGAGAUUGAUAAUUUAAAGUUCCCUGGUUUAAUCCCCGUUUCCAAAGAUGUGCUUUAAUUCUCUUUUACGGCAUCAAGCUGGCAGAAUUCUUAGCACGCCAGA